GAUCAUGGCUCAGGAUGAACGCUGGCGGCGUGCCUAACACAUGCAAGUCGAGCGAUUCUCUUCGGAGAAGAGCGGCGGACGGGUGAGUAACGCGUGGGUAACCUGGCCUCAUACACAUGGAUAACAUACCGAAAGGUAUGCUAAUACAGGAUAACAUAAGAGAUUCACAUGGAUUUCUUAUCAAAGCUCCGGCGGUAUGAGAUGGACCCGCGUCUGAUUAGCUAGUUGGUAAGGUAACGGCUUACCAAGGCGACGAUCAGUAGCCGACCUGAGAGGGUGAUCGGCCACAUUGGAACUGAGACACGGUCCAAACUCCUACGGGAGGCAGCAGUGGGGAAUAUUGCACAAUGGGCGAAAGCCUGAUGCAGCAACGCCGCGUGAGUGAUGAAGGCCUUCGGGUCGUAAAACUCUGUCCUCAAGGAAGACUAAUCCGACGGUUACUUGACGGUAGGAACGCCCGGCUAACUACGUGCCAGCCGCCGC
This 483-nucleotide ribosomal RNA is filed under the name uncultured bacterium. Its description in RNAcentral is "bacterial SSU rRNA". It matches the Rfam family "Bacterial small subunit ribosomal RNA", at positions 15 to 518 of the family's 1533-position model. The record is from RNAcentral.